GAUGAACGCUAGCGGCAGGCCUAAUACAUGCAAGUCGAACGGUUGUAGUGAUACAAUAGUGGCGCACGGGUGCGUAACACGUAUGCAACCUACCUUAUAGACGGGGAUAGCCUUUGGAAACGGAGAUUAAUACCCGAUAGUAACAUUGGUUGGCAUCAAUUAAUGUUUAAAGAUUUAUCGCUAUAAGCUGGGCAUGCGUCCAAUUAGGUAGUUGGUUAGGUAAUGGCUGACCAAGCCGAUGAUUGGUAGGGGAACUGAGAGGUUAAUCCCCCACACUGGCACUGAGAUACGGGCCAGACUCCUACGGGAGGCAGCAGUAGGGAAUAUUGGGCAAUGGAGGCAACUCUGACCCAGCCAUGCCGCGUGCAGGAUGAAGGCGUUAUGCGUUGUAAACUGCUUUUAUAUAGGAAGAAAUAGACCUUGCGAGGUAAGUUGACGGUACUAUAUGGAUAAGCACCGGCUAACUCCGUGCCAGCAGCCGCGGUAAUACGGAGGGUGCAAGCGUUGUCCGGAUUUAUUGGGUUUAAAGGGUGCGUAGGCGGUUUAUUAAGUCAGUGGUGAAAGACGGUCGCUCAACGAUUGCAGUGCCAUUGAUACUGGUAGACUUGAGUGAGAUUGAGGUAGCUGGAAUGGAUAGUGUAGCGGUGAAAUGCAUAGAUAUUAUCCAGAACACCAAUUGCGUAGGCAAGUUACUAAGUCUCAACUGACGCUGAGGCACGAAAGUGUGGGUAUCAAACAGGAUUAGAUACCCUGGUAGUCCGCACUGUAAACGAUGAUAACUAACUGUUGGCUUUCGGGUCAGUGGUACAGAGAAAUCGUUAAGUUAUCCACCUGGGGAGUACGCCGGCAACGGUG
RNAcentral lists this ribosomal RNA (855 nucleotides) under uncultured bacterium. Its description in RNAcentral is "bacterial SSU rRNA". It matches the Rfam family "Bacterial small subunit ribosomal RNA", at positions 28 to 896 of the family's 1533-position model. The record is from RNAcentral.